This 771-nucleotide long non-coding RNA is filed under the name Nicotiana benthamiana. RNAcentral's name for it is "long non-coding RNA (NBEN_LNC027816)". The record is from RNAcentral. Lineage: Eukaryota; Viridiplantae; Streptophyta; Magnoliopsida; Solanales; Solanaceae.
CUAGACCUUACAAAAAGGAGAGAAGCUUCUCCUUAGGGAGCUCCCCUCUUCUUCCUCUUCAUUUUUUUCCUAAAAAAGAAAUGUUACGUGAAGAAAACAGCAAAAAGACCUUCCCCCAUCUGAAAACAAAAGGUGCCAUUCCAACCCUUGUCUUCUUCUUCUCAUUUUUGUAACCUAGAAACACAUAUCAGACCCCAUUUUUACAUAAUCAAAUAUGGCGCCUCUCGAAAAACUCUGCCUCUGUCAAAGGCUGUUAGAUCUGAAAAAAAGAAAAAAAGAAAAAAAUUGGUUGGCUUGCUGUUUUUCUGAGAUUUUAAGAGUGUUUAAACUCUCCAAAAUUGUUGACUGGUUAUUGAAUAUGUGGCUGCUUUUGCUGGGUUUUAUCAUCUUCAUUACUGCUCAAAUUUGGCAGAUUCGUUUCUGAUUCAGGCAUGCACUUAUUACCGCUUAGUUUUUUUUAUGGCUCUUCGCUGUUUCUGCAAACCAUGCCAAUUUUUAAAAUAAAGUUUCUAAGCGUUUAUUGUUUUAAAUAUGAUGUCAAGACCUUAAAGUAUAUUCGGAUGUGAUUUAGCUGCUUGAAGAGCAUUUCAUUCAUUUAAUGAUAUUAUCUGCUAGUUGUGGCUCUCAUCAAAGACACAUUGUCAUUGUAGAACUGCUACUGAAACUGAACGGGAAGAUCUGCAUUAGGUUUUUACACAACUUGUUUACUCUUGGUCAUGUGGAUUUUGAUAUGCAGUACAAGAUCUUAGCAACUAGAAGUUAUUAAUUGAU